CAGUCGCCACGGUAAUACGAAGGGUGCAAGCGUUAAUCGGAAUUACUGGGCGUAAAGCGUGCGUAGGUGGUGGUUUAAGUCCGUUGUGAAAGCCCUGGGCUCAACCUGGGAAUUGCAGUGGAUACUGGGUCACUAGAGUGUGGUAGAGGGUAGUGGAAUUUCCGGUGUAGCAGUGAAAUGCGUAGAGAUCGGAAGGAACAUCUGUGGCGAAGGCGACUAUCUGGGCCAACACUGACACUGAGGCACGAAAGCGUGGGGAGCAAACAGGAUUAGAUACCCCUGUAGUCCCUGUCUCUUAUAC
RNAcentral lists this ribosomal RNA (301 nucleotides) under uncultured bacterium. RNAcentral's name for it is "partial 16S ribosomal RNA". It matches the Rfam family "Bacterial small subunit ribosomal RNA", at positions 509 to 807 of the family's 1533-position model. The record is from RNAcentral.